RNAcentral lists this long non-coding RNA (270 nucleotides) under Homo sapiens (human). RNAcentral describes it as "non-protein coding lnc-TAS2R1-6:1". The record is from RNAcentral. Lineage: Eukaryota; Metazoa; Chordata; Mammalia; Primates; Hominidae.
CAUGACCCUCAUGACCAUGGCCCACCAGAUAAAACCCAGCUUGGCAUUCAAGGUGCUGCAGAGCUGGCCCUUCCUCCCUUCACUCUAUACACAGGCACUUGGAGGUGCCUACACAUCUACUUGCCCUUGCCCUCUCCUUAGUUUGGCCAAUUCUUAUUCAUCUUCCAUCACAGGCCUAUGUGAAGAGCUAGGAAGCCCUUCCUUAGCUCUUCACUGUGUUAAGUGUAUUUCACCACCUCCCAUUCUUUCCACAGUAGACCCUCCCUCCCA